CCUACGGGAGGCAGCAGUGGGGAAUAUUGGGCAAUGGGCGCAAGCCUGACCCAGCAACGCCGCGUGAAGGAAGAAGGCCCUCGGGUGGUAAACUUCUUUUAUUCGGGACGAAACAAAUGACGGUACCGAAUGAAUAAGCCACGGCUAACACCGUGCCAGCAGCCGCGGUAAUAAGUAGGUGGCAAGCGUUAUACGGAUUGACGGGGGGGAAAGGGCGUGUAGGCGGGAGAGCAAGUCAGACGUGAAAUUCCAGUGCUCAACCCUGGAACUUCGUUUGAAACUGUUCUUCUUGAGUGAUGUAGAGGCAGGCGGAAUUCCGUGUGGAGCGGUGAUAUGCGUAGAUAUACGGAGGAACACCAGUGGCGAAGGCGGCCUGCUGGACAUUAACUGCCGCUGAGGCGCGAAAGCGUGGGGAGCAAACAGGAUUAGAUACCCCUGUAGUC
RNAcentral lists this ribosomal RNA (443 nucleotides) under uncultured bacterium. RNAcentral's name for it is "partial 16S ribosomal RNA". It matches the Rfam family "Bacterial small subunit ribosomal RNA", at positions 338 to 795 of the family's 1533-position model. The record is from RNAcentral.